RNAcentral lists this non-coding RNA (30 nucleotides) under Mus musculus (house mouse). Lineage: Eukaryota; Metazoa; Chordata; Mammalia; Rodentia; Muridae. The record is from RNAcentral.
UAAAGCAGGAAUUCCUUUUAGGUGGCUGCC